This 1721-nucleotide long non-coding RNA is filed under the name Marmota monax (woodchuck). Lineage: Eukaryota; Metazoa; Chordata; Mammalia; Rodentia; Sciuridae. The record is from RNAcentral.
GAAUAAAAAACAAAAAUAAACAAACAAGCUCUCCCCCCAUUUGACUUAAGCAGUCUUCAUUUCCACCAUAGUAAAUUUUCUAGAUACGUCUUGUAGACCUCAAAGUACUGGAAAGGAAGCUCCCAGAGCCCAGGAUGUGGAAAUAGCUUUGGGGCCGCCAUUCAGCUCCUUCAUCCACCAUCCUGCGGGCAGGCAAACUGCUUCUCAGUUUCCCGUGUGCUGUGGUAGAGUGGCCCUGUUAGAUGCCAAGGGCUGAGUGGAUUCCAUCCCAUAAGGUGAUCACAUCUGGAAGAGCAGCUGCAUUUGGAGCUGCCCUGAUGGUGUCCUGAGCCCUGUGAAGGGGGACCCUCUCUGUCCACAUUUCAGCUUUUCCCAGGGAGGUUGGGUUUCUCGGGAUGGGGGAGCCUCUGCACCCAGAGCCAGGCAGAAGGAGGAAGACUCCUGCUAGAGCUGACCAUCAGUCUCCAUCACCACCGGCUCCAAUUCCUCUUGCUCUCUGCCCUCUGGACUUUCUCCAGGCAAACUCCCCUGUGAGAGCGCCCCCCACCCCACCCGGUGCCAUGGAUGGAACCCAGCCUUGCUCGUGCUAGACAGGCACUUACCAUGAGCCCCACUCCACACCCACACUGCGGCUUUCGCUCCUCCUCCCCUUGCCUUUAUUGAGAGGUAGCCCCUAAGCUGUUUUCUGGCGAUAAUACCUUUCUGCCGUCUGUGGACCUCCUGGCCACUUGGCGUCACGGGCUUCCCACUUUCUGUGCCCUGGAUCCGUCCUACAGGUGGCCAUGAGGUUUGGAAUCCCUCUGUCUUCCGAGUGGACUGGUGGCCUUGGCCAUGGCAGCCUCGUCUGUUGAGCCGCGUGCUGUAGGAAGAGCUUCCUGUUUCUUUUUGCCCCACGAUGUGAAAAUAUUUGGAGCCACUGACUUGAAGACCUGCAGCACUGACUGCCCUCCCUGAGGCAGACACCCACCCGCUCCGUUAUCCACGCCUCUCCUGCCCACGGCUUCCCCUUCAUCCCAGAACUCCCACUAGGCCCUUCCUUCCCUAGGAGAAACCCAGUUCUCCAGCCUUUCUCCCUUCGUCCUUGUUUAGAUGUGACUGCACAUCCAAUUUCAGUCGCACUGUGGCCACCUCAGGUACCCAACACUCCUGUGCCCCCUGUGUUGAUACUGCCCCAGUCCUGGAGAAGAAAAGGCCGUGCUGUGCUGACCUCAGCUGUUCAGCACGGCUGCAGAAAUGCCCUAGGCGGAGCCAAGUCGUUCCACCACACAAAACCAAACGCUGUUCUCCAACUCCUGGGCUCCAGUGAUUCCCCACCUCCUCCCCCUAAGUGCUGGGUCUAUAGGCUUGGGACAUCAAGACUGCCUUUGAUUACCAAGUUCAAAUAGGCCCUCAUCACCACCCACAGCCGCAUCGCAGUCCUCUUGAAGAUCUAUCUACUCCUCCGCUUCCUGUAUGGCAAGAACAGGUGGAGGCUGCAGUUAUUUGUUUGUUUGCUUCGUGCUGGGGAUGGAACCCAGGGCCUUGCUCACUCCAAGCAAGUGCCUCACCAGUGAGCCACGCCGCAGGCCAGCUGGAGCAUCCUUGGCCCAAAUCAGAAAUCCCCUCCAAAUACAAAAACUUUUCGAGUACUGAAAUGACACCAUGGGUAGAAAAUUUCAUACCAUGAAAUUUUGUUUCAUGCACAAAGUUAUUGAAAGUGUUGUAGGAGGGCUGGGGCUGGG